AGAGUUUGAUCCUGGCUCAGGAUGAACGCUAGCUACAGGCUUAACACAUGCAAGUCGAGGGGAAACGACAUCGAAAGCUUGCUUUUGAUGGGCGUCGACCGGCGCACGGGUGAGUAACGCGUAUCCAACCUGCCCACCACUUGGGGAUAACCUUGCGAAAGUAAGACUAAUACCCAAUGACGUCUCUAGAAGACAUCUGAAAGAGAUUAAAGAUUUAUCGGUGAUGGAUGGGGAUGCGUCUGAUUAGCUUGUUGGCGGGGUAACGGCCGCCGAAGGCUACGAUCAGUAGGGGUUCUGAGAGGAAGGUCCCCCANAUUGGAACUGAGACACGGUCCAAACUCCGUACGGGAGGCA
RNAcentral lists this ribosomal RNA (354 nucleotides) under uncultured bacterium. Its description in RNAcentral is "bacterial SSU rRNA". It matches the Rfam family "Bacterial small subunit ribosomal RNA", at positions 8 to 350 of the family's 1533-position model. The record is from RNAcentral.